UACGGGGGGGUGCGAGCGUUGUCCGGAAUCACUGGGCGUAAAGGGCGCGUAGGUGGUUUGAUAAGGGUGUGGUGAAAGUCCGGGGCUCAACCCCGGACCUGCAUCCGAUACUGCGUGACUAGAGGUAGGUAGGGGAGAUCGGAAUUCCUGGUGUAGCGGUGAAAUGCGCAGAUAUCAGGAGGAACACCGGUGGCGAAGGCGGAUCUCUGGGCCUUACCUGACGCUCAGGCGCGAAAGCUAGGGGAGCGAACAGG
Molecule: ribosomal RNA, 254 nt
Filed under: uncultured bacterium
Lineage: Bacteria
Description: partial 16S ribosomal RNA
Rfam family: Bacterial small subunit ribosomal RNA
Source: RNAcentral